This 292-nucleotide signal recognition particle RNA is filed under the name Cebus imitator (Panamanian white-faced capuchin). RNAcentral's name for it is "Metazoan signal recognition particle RNA (ENSCCAG00000007755.1)". It matches the Rfam family "Metazoan signal recognition particle RNA". From Rfam's summary of the family: The signal recognition particle (SRP) is a universally conserved ribonucleoprotein. It is involved in the co-translational targeting of proteins to membranes. The eukaryotic SRP consists of a 300-nucleotide 7S RNA and six proteins: SRPs 72, 68, 54, 19, 14, and 9. The record is from RNAcentral. Lineage: Eukaryota; Metazoa; Chordata; Mammalia; Primates; Cebidae.
ACUAGGCACGGUGGCACAUGCCUGUAGUCGUAACUACUCAGGAGGCUGAGGUGUGAGGAUGGCUUGAACCCAGGAGUUCUGAGCAGUGGUGGGCUAUGCUGAUUGGGUGUUUGCACCAGCAUCAAUAUGGUGACCUCCCAGAAGUGGGGGACCACCAGGUUGCCAAGGAGGGAUGAAGUGGCCCAGGUGAGAAACGGAGCAGGUCAAAACUCCCUUGCUGAUCAGUAGUGGGAUAGCACCUGUGAAUAGCCACUGCACUCCAGCCUGGGCAACAUAGUGAGACUCUGUCUCU